Molecule: ribosomal RNA, 270 nt
Filed under: uncultured archaeon
Lineage: Archaea
Description: partial 16S ribosomal RNA
Rfam family: Archaeal small subunit ribosomal RNA
Source: RNAcentral
CAGCACCUCAAGUGGUCAGGAUUAUUAUUGGGCCUAAAGCAUCCGUAGCCGGCUCUGUAAGUUUUCGGUUAAAUCUGUACGCUCAACGUACAGGCUGCCGGGAAUACUGCAGAGCUAGGGAGUGGGAGAGGUAGACGGUACUCGGUAGGAAGGGGUAAAAUCCUUUGAUCUAUUGAUGACCACCUGUGGCGAAGGCGGUCUACCAGAACACGUCCGACGGUGAGGGAUGAAAGCUGGGGGAGCAAACCGGAUUAGAGACCCGAGUAGUCC